This 469-nucleotide ribosomal RNA is filed under the name uncultured bacterium. Its description in RNAcentral is "partial 16S ribosomal RNA". It matches the Rfam family "Bacterial small subunit ribosomal RNA", at positions 28 to 507 of the family's 1533-position model. The record is from RNAcentral.
GACGAACGCUGGCGGCGUGCUUUACACAUGCAAGUCGAACGGAAAGGCUCCAGCUUGCUGGAGUACUCGAGUGGCGAACGGGUGAGUAACACGUGGGUGAUCUGCCCUGCACUUCGGGAUAAGCCUGGGAAACUGGGUCUAAUACCGGAUAGGACCGCACUUUGGUGUGUGUGGUGGAAAGGUUUUUUCUGGUGUGGGAUGAGCUCGCGGCCUAUCAGUUUGUUGGUGGGGUAAUGGCCUACCAAGACGGCGACGGGUAGCCGGCCUGAGAGGGUGGACGGUCACAUUGGGACUGAGAUACGGCCCAGACUCCUACGGGAGGCAGCAGUGGGGAAUAUUGCACAAUGGGGGAAACCCUGAUGCAGCGACGCCGCGUGGGGGAGGAAGGCCUUCGGGUUGUAAACUCCUUUCGCUAGGGACGAAGCUUUUUGUGACGGUACCUGGAGAAGAAGCACCGGCUAACUACGUG